UCCUGCCCCACCUCGGGCACCGAAGACACUGGGGAGGGGGGUUAAGGGCCGCGCGAGAGCUGUUGUCGUGCCUGGUGUGUUUUGUCCCACUGGCCUUCUGCAACACCCUCUCCUUCGACUCGAGGACGCCUUUUGGGCCACCUCGAAAUAAAGGCGCAUUUUCUUUCUCCCUCGGUUCCGUGGAUUAGAGACCGCAGCGGUGCGCGGGAAAGAUGUCCGCAGUCCCGCAGAGCUAAGUAUCAGAGCGUCCUAAAGAACAUCGCCACCCUGAACAGACGGGCUCCUCGGUUUUCUUCCUCUUCACUGCAGUGACCUCCAGGCAAGAUGUGCCGUUGAGUCAGUUCUGACUCAUAGUGACUCUCUGUGCAACAGAACAAAACACUGCCCGGUCCUGUGCAACAUGCAAGCCACCACAGUAAGACAAACUGACAGAUGAGUGGUGGACUAAUAAGGAAGAUGCUAAUAUUAUCUCCCAGUGUUGGAAAGGGUAAGUAACAUGCCCAGAGUCACAUGGCAAGAGGUAGAGCCAGAAUUGGAAUCCAGAUUGUUGAGAUUCCAUGUUCAUGUGGUUUCUGAAAAGAUUAAAUGAGUUCACCUACCUGUGCAGGUAAAUGUCUUUAUACUAAACUUUGGCCUUCCAUAACUAUUAAUGACCUCUUCCUGGGUCAUAAAGAAAAAAACAAUUUGCACUGGUCUGCUAACCUAGAGGUUGGCUGUUCAAACUCACCCAGCAGUACCAUGGAAGAAAAGGCCUGGUGAUCUCUCUGCUUCCAUUAAGAUUACAGCCAAAAAAACCCUAUGGAGCAGGUCUACUUUGUAAUACAUGGGGUCACCAUAAGUCGGAAUCUGCUCAAUGGCAACUAACAACAACAACAAUCCUGAGUCAUGAAGGAAGAUGGUAGGAAGCCCUGGAUUUACAUCUUGAUAAAUACUUUCUUAUGAUAAAGUGAAUAGCUGAGAUUUACAGCCUACAAGUUUCAAAGUGCCUUCAUCCUAGCUGGCAAAUUUCUAGAGCAUCAAAAGGAAUAAUAAUUCCCAUGCUUUCAUCUAAAAACACUAAGAUUCAAAAAUUAUGAUUUCCACAAGGUCACUCAGAAAGUGAUGGCAUGGUGGACCCAAAUGCCUUCCUUCCCAGUCCUGAGCUUUAGCCCCUUGAACUCAUGACACCAAAUUUCUCAGUUCUUGGUGGUCUUUUCUUUGGGGUGGGGGUCACCCUGCAUGGAGGCAGGAGAUGGGACAGGAUGACCUUGCAUUCCUUGGUUUCUGUUUCCCGGGAAGGAGAGCAGUUUUCUCCCAUUACUGAGGUACGUUUGCUAAGAAGUACCUGCCAGAGACAGACCAAAAUCAAGAUUACAUUAUUUUGGAUUAUCUUUGUUUAUUGUAGAACUUAUUCAAAAUUUGCUUCCCUUGGCUCCUCAGAACUGUGAUGCACAGCUGGGAGAAGUACUAAACCAAAAAAACCCCAAACCCGUUGCCAUCAAGUUGAUUCCCACUCAUAGCGACCCCAUAGGCCAGAGUAGAACUGCCCCAUAGAGUUUCCCAGGAACGCCUGGCAGACUUGAACUACCAACCUUUUGGUUAGCAGCAAUAUCACUUAACCACUAUGCCACCAGGGUUUCCAGGGAAAAGUACUAAGCGUGAGAAAUUUGCCAUUGGAGGACUUCAGGGGAUAAAUGGCAGUGUCCAAGUGCAAUCCAUCUCUGGGACAUACUUCCAGUAGAGGGCAGGGAAGGCUGGGAUCUGUGUGGAGGGAGCCACAGAUGAAGUCCUGGCUUGCAGAGCAGGUGGGAAGAAGCAUCAUUUAAUACUUUUAUUAUGACAGCGUUCAAACAUACACAAAGGUAGAGAGCAUUGCUCUGUGAAUCCCCAUAUACUCAUCACCCAGAUUCCACAAUUACUAAGAUUUUGUCACUUUUGCUCCUUCUGCUCUUUUCUUUUUGUCCUUUUUUUCUUGGCUGAAAUAUUUAAAAUUAAAUGUUAUUUCACUUUAUACUGCAGUAUGCAUCUCCAGGAAAUAAGGACCUAUUCUUAUAUCACCUCAAAGCCAUUUUUAUGUUCAAAAAAAUCCAACAAAUUCCUUGGCAUCAUAAAUACUCAGUCCAUAAUUGAAUGUCCCCAACUGUCUCCAAAUGCCUUUUUAUAGUUGGGUUGUCCAAAUCAGGAACCAAAUAAGGGCCAUGUCUUAAUCAUCUAAUAUGGCUGUAACAGAAAUACCAUAAGUGGAUGGCUUUCACAAAGAGAAAUUUCCUCACAGUAAAGUAGGCUAAAAAUCCAAAUUUGAGGUGUCAGCUCCAGGAGAAGGCUUUCUUUCUCUGUUGGCUCUUGGAGAAGGGCUUUGUCCUCAAUCUUGCCCUCGUUGAGGAGCUUCUCAGGCUCAGGGACCCUGGGGUCCAAAGGACGCACUCUGCUCCCAGUGCUGCUUUCUUGGUGGUAUGAGGUCCCCAACUCUCUGCUUGGUUCUCUUUUCUUUUCCAUGUCCCAGGGAAACUCCCUUUACACUGGAUCAGUGAGGUGACCUGAGUAAGAGUGGUGUUACAAUCCCACCCUAAUCCUCUCAACAUAAAAUUACAACCACGAAAUGGUGGACAACCACACAAUACUGGUAAUCAUGGCCUAGCCAAAUUGACACAUAUUUUUGGGGGGACACAAUUCAAUCCAUGACAUUCCACCCUUUGGCCCCCCAAAAAUCAUAUCCUUGUAACAUGCGAACCGUGUUCACCCCAUCAUAUCAUAGCAAAAGCGUGAACUCCAAGUCCAAAAUUCAAAAAUUCCUCCUCAUCUGUGAAAUCUAGAAUACAGGUUAUCUGCUUCCAAUGGUACAAUGGCAGGACAGGCACAAGCUAGACAUUUCCAUUACAAAUGGGAGAAACUGAAGGGAAAGAAGGCAUAACAGGCACCAAACAAGUCAGCAGAAUACCUGACAUUAGCUCUCAGAGCUUUGAAAAUAAUCCUCUGUUCUCUGAGACAAUUUACACAAUAACCCUGCCCUCCAGCCUCUAGGUAUUGGCCAUACUCUCUGGAUUCUGAGUGGAGGCCUCUCGGCCCUGGGCUUCAGCUCCACCUUCCAGUCUCACUGGGACUGCAACACAGCUCCCUUGGUUUUAGGCGCACCAUUCUCCUAGUCCAUCUGAGUGGCAAUUCCACCCGUAGAAACACCAGAGGCCACGGCUGCACCCUUUGUAACCCCUGAGGUCAUAGUCAUACCUUUUGAGAUUGAUGCAGCUCGGCUUCUUAUGUUGUCUCUUUAGCUUCUGCUUUCUGGUUCCUUGGCCUCUGUGCUCUUCGGACCUCACGCCCACAUCUGCCCUGCUGUGACAAGUGUUCCAAAACUCUGUAGCUUCACUGAUAAUUGCCCAGAGGCACCCCACUCUGCUAGGAGGCUUCCUGCCCACAGGCAUUCAGCUCUCUCACUCCGUUGGUCGGCUCCAGCGCCGGUCUCCUGGUUCUGCUGCUGCUGGUUCUCUGUUGUUGCUGCUUCUCUGCUGCUGUUGCAACUCCAUCCACUCACAGUUUUGGAACUACUUCUACAUUUUAGGUAUCUAUUAGAGCUGCACCCCACUCCUGGCACCAAUUGUCUUAGGCGGGGUUCUCUAGAGAAACAAAACCAGUAGUGCGUAUAAAUAUAUGUAGACAUUUAUAUUAAGGAAACAGCUCACUUGACUGUAGGGGUUGGAACAUCCUGAGUCCUUGGAUCAGGAUAGAGUCCUUUCCCAAUUCACAGAACUGCAGAAGCUGGUGAACCCAAGAUGAGCAGAUUGGAGAGCAGAGAUCCUGCUCACAGGUUGUGACAGUUGAAGAAUCCCCAAUGCCAGCAGGCAAAACCACAAGGUUUCACCUGAGUCACUUAGCUGCAGGAGCUGGUGAACCCAAGAUAGGCAGGUUGGGGAGCAGGAUUCUUGCUCACAGGCCAUGAAGAUCAACAAAUCCCAAGAUGGACAGGUAAGGUGCUCACUCAAGUCCCAAGAACCAGAGGUCAGACAAGAGACAGCUGCUGGAUCCAGAACAAGCCAACAACCUCUGUAAGCACCGUGUUGAGAUCCGUAUCCUGAAGUUUGACACUUCCUAGUCCAUACACCUGCCCUUCCCACCAGACCUUGAAGACAGAUGGCCACCUUCUAUGUAUUCCUGGCACCUAUCAGUGCCUAGCAUACAGCAGAUGCUCAAUAAAAUUUUGCUGAAUUGCACUGAAUUAAAUCCCAAAGUCUCUCAUCCCAUACAGAGGUAGGCAGGUUCAGGAAAAAGGGCGGAAGUAUAUUGCGGUGAAGAGAACUCAGGACCACCAAGACCUGGAUUCCCAUUUUAGCUCUGUUGCUACCUAGCUGUGUGAUAUUGGACAAGUCACUUAACCUCUCUGGUUCUCAGUUUCCUCCUCUGGGAAAUGAAGAUGAUAACUGCUACUCUCUGAACUGCUAUUUGGAUUCAAUAAGAUAAUAUAAUACCUAGCACAAUGUCUGGUACAUAGUAAGUACACAAAGGAUAACUUCCCAAUACCACCCCACCCCAGUCUCACAUCUUUUCUUCAGAAGAUUCCACAAGAACAGGCAGCCAAACAUCAAAGAUGGCCCCAGAGGGUGGGCUCACAUCCUUGGGUCCUCUAGGGCUGGAGAGGAGCUGUAGUCUGACAGACAGGGAGAUUCACUGAAGCUGAACAGAACCCAGGCAGUUGGUGGGAGUUGGCAAGGGAGGCAGGACACCCAGGUCCUGGGAGUUUCCACGGAGGGGAAGUCCCAGGUGUGGGUGCAGGGGUGCCAAGCUGGCCCCACCCAACACCCUGGCCCCAGGGGAUGUGGGCACAGGGAGGAAAGUGGGUCAGAGCAAGGCUGGAACUUAACCCCACUGGUUCCAUAACCUCUUUGCCAGCUCUGGAGGAGGUGCAGCCACAGAGGGCCUGCUCCCUCCUCUAAGGGACCUCAGUUCCAGGCCCCUCUACUUUCUCCAGACCUUGUGUGGAACCUUAGUGCCUGGGCAAGAAGAACUGGAAGUUCCCCAGUAGACAGGGAAGAGAUACCUCCCAGAUCCUAGAUGGAGGUUCUGUGCAAACAGACUGCUACACCCACACACAGAUUGACUGGCAGACACCUUAAGCACUCACCUCAC
This is a long non-coding RNA of Loxodonta africana (African savanna elephant), 5097 nucleotides long. RefSeq lists it as uncharacterized. The transcript is spliced from 3 exons. The record is from RefSeq and is a predicted model, not a curated record. NCBI's taxonomy places the organism in Eukaryota, Metazoa, Chordata, Mammalia, Proboscidea, Elephantidae.